This 253-nucleotide ribosomal RNA is filed under the name uncultured bacterium. Its description in RNAcentral is "partial 16S ribosomal RNA". It matches the Rfam family "Bacterial small subunit ribosomal RNA", at positions 524 to 776 of the family's 1533-position model. The record is from RNAcentral.
UACGUAGGGUGCGAGCGUUAAUCGGAAUUACUGGGCGUAAAGCGCACGUAGGCGGUUUUUUAAGUCAGAUGUGAAAGCCCCGGGCUCAACCUGGGAAUUGCAUUUGAAACUGGCCAACUAGAGUACGUGAGAGGGGGGUAGAAUUCCAAGUGUAGCGGUGAAAUGCGUAGAGAUUUGGAGGAAUACCAGUGGCGAAGGCGGCCCCCUGGCCCGAUAUUGACGCUGAGGUGCGAAAGCGUGGGGAGCAAACAGG